AUUGAACGCUGGCGGCAGGCCUAACACAUGCAAGUCGAGCGGUAGAGAGAAGCUUGCUUCUCUUGAGAGCGGCGGACGGGUGAGUAAUGCCUAGGAAUCUGCCUGGUAGUGGGGGAUAACGUUCGGAAACGAACGCUAAUACCGCAUACGUCCUACGGGAGAAAGCAGGGGACCUUCGGGCCUUGCGCUUUCAGAUGAGCCUAGGUCGGAUUAGCUAGUUGGUGAGGUAAUGGCUCACCAAGGCGACGAUCCGUAACUGGUCUGAGAGGAUGAUCAGUCACACUGGAACUGAGACACGGUCCAGACUCCUACGGGAGGCAGCAGUGGGGAAUAUUGGACAAUGGGCGAAAGCCUGAUCCAGCCAUGCCGCGUGUGUGAAGAAGGUCUUCGGAUUGUAAAGCACUUUAAGUUGGGAGGAAGGGCAUUAACCUAAUACGUUAGUGUUUUGACGUUACCGACAGAAUAAGCACCGGCUAACUCUGUG
This 484-nucleotide ribosomal RNA is filed under the name uncultured bacterium. RNAcentral's name for it is "partial 16S ribosomal RNA". It matches the Rfam family "Bacterial small subunit ribosomal RNA", at positions 30 to 507 of the family's 1533-position model. The record is from RNAcentral.